CAUCAAAGGCCUUUGCAACGUCACAACAAAGGUGCUUCGAAGGAGCUCCCAAAUAGCAUAAAUAGAGCCUUGGCGACACUCUACACCAGUGCACUCCAAAGUUGGUCCGUCUAAAGUAUCGCUGAGUCUAAAAUACUGCUGAAAGUCAACCGUUAUUAAAUAUGUCUCACGUUUAUGGUAGAGCUAACGAUCACGUUUCCCGUGCAAAGGUUUGCACAACUGAAGAAUUGCGGGCUGAAAAAGAAGCCACAAAAAAGGAGAAAAAAUGCGUCAGGUUUGCAACGCUCCCAUCACUCCACAACGGCUGGGAGCACACAAUCCGACCAACGACAGAGAGAGUGCGGGACGUACAAAGGGUAAGUCGGGAGUGGGGUGAGGCUGGCAGUAGUGAUCGGGUUGGUUUCUUCCGUUGUCAGCAACGGAGCAGCUCAGAACAAACAGCACCUAAAACGGAAUGCCUGUUUGUUAAUAAAUCAAAUAGGGUUGUGUCUGUAGCUAAAGACUCACCAGCUAAGAAUUUAAUCCCACCCCUGCCUCCUCUUCCUAUUAAACCGCAGAAAACACAGCGUGCCCCUAUUAUUAAAAAGCAACACGAGGUUGUUGCACCUUAUGCACCACGCAUAUUAGAGACGUGGGACAUAAACACAAAUAAAAAUGUACUUCCACCCCUACCUCCUCUUCCUAUUAAACCGCAGAAAACACAGCGUGCCCCUAUUAUUAAAAAGCAACACGAGGUUGUUGCACCUUAUGCACCACGCAUGUUAGAGACGUGGAAAUAUUAACAGCAGUAAAAUAUAAAUAACACCCCCCCCCCCCCCCCCCCCCCCAACCGGUUGCAGCAGAUAGCCGCCCCUCCCUGAGCCUGGAUCUGCUGGAGGUUUCUUCCUGUUAAAAGGGAGUUUUUCCUUCCCACUGUCGCCAUGUGCUUGCUCAUAGGGGGUCAUUUGAUUGUUGGGUUUUUUUUUUUCACAACAACAGUUGUGAAAAUAUUCACAACUGUUGUUGUGAAUAUUUUCACAACUGUUGUUGUGAAAAUAUAACUGUUGUUGUGAAAAUAUUCACAACAACAGUUAUAUUGCAAAGUCUUCACCAUCCAUCAGCCAUUACAAUGCAAAUAAUAAAAAUCUUGAAAUACA
Molecule: long non-coding RNA, 1136 nt
Organism: Astatotilapia calliptera (eastern happy)
Lineage: Eukaryota; Metazoa; Chordata; Actinopteri; Cichliformes; Cichlidae
Source: Ensembl